AUGGACCCCGGUGACUUUCGGCGCAUCCGCUGCAUUUGCCGGGCCCCGGAAUCGCACUCAAAAGUUGGGAAGGUGCAGCCCGCACUUUGCAAGCCUCGGGGGGCUGCGGGGGCGCUGGGCGCCCACCCACCCUCCCAGCCGGCCCGGCCCGGCGCCGCCAAGUUCUCCCCGGCGGGGCGGCGGAGAGCGGCCCCGCUCCGCCCGAGCCCACUCCCCCACCCCAGCCGUGCCCGGGGACGGGGGUCGUGGCGGUGGGGUGAGGGGGGCGCGCAGCACUCACGUCCCGGAAUUUGUUCCACUGUCCGACUUCCGAGAGAUGGUGGUGAGCCAUUGUUUAUCAUCCAGAAAAUUACCGCCGUCCGAACGCCCCCCGGCCGCAGCCUGACUGCACCAAGCCGCUGCACACACGCACAGCACGGCGGACACCUUGAGCAUCUGGGAGAGGAGACACAACCGGGGGCGGGGGCCGGGGUCAGCGGAGGGGUGCGGGCGCCGCGGGGGAGGAGACGAGCGGGGUCUGGGGGUGAGCGGGGGGCAUGGGGGGCUCCCUCCCCGCAGACCGCACGCCCACGCGCGAGCACGCAGGGGUCGGGGGGCAGCAGCCCCGCGCCGGCAGGCGGCCGCCUCCCCGCACCUCACCUUGCGGCGAGCCGGGACUGCGCUCGCAGCCUCCCGCUGGAAAUGCAGGCGGGCGCUGCUGCCGGAGCCGCCUCACGCGCCGCCGUCUCCUGCCGGCCACUCCGCGCCCUGCGCCCCGCGCGCUCCGCAGCCGCCUCCCCCCGCGCGCCGCGCUCGCGCGCGCCGACUCCCCGCGCUUCCCCCGCGCCCUCCCCCGCCUCCCCGCCCGCCCGCAGCAGCCCCGGCCUCCGGGCGGGCGGCGCCGGGCGCGCGCGGGUGCGGGAGCUCCCGCUCCGGAGUCCUCGGCGGCGCCCCGAGCGCGCCCCGUCGCCCCGUGGUUGCCCCUACCGUGCAGGUGCGAGCGAGGAAAGGCAGGGAGUGGGAAAGCGGAGGCGAACUUGGCAUCGCCGAGCCAGGAUCCCCGCGACUCGCUCUCCUGUCAGCCUGGGCCGACUCUGCCCCUGA
This 1083-nucleotide long non-coding RNA is filed under the name Oryctolagus cuniculus (rabbit). RNAcentral describes it as "lncRNA (ENSOCUG00000030257.1)". The record is from RNAcentral. Lineage: Eukaryota; Metazoa; Chordata; Mammalia; Lagomorpha; Leporidae.